UACGUAGGGGGCAAGCGUUAUCCGGAUUUACUGGGUGUAAAGGGAGCGUAGACGGCUGGCCAAGUCUGAAGUGAAAGCCCGGGGCUUAACCCCGGAACGGCUUUGGAAACUGGCCGGCUGGAGUGCUGGAGAGGCAGGCGGAAUUCCUGGUGUAGCGGUGAAAUGCAUAGAUAUCGCGCAGAACUCCGAUUGCGAAGGCAGCAUGCCGGCUCCACACUGACGCUGAGGCACGAAAGCAUGGGUAGCGAACAGG
Molecule: ribosomal RNA, 253 nt
Filed under: uncultured Lachnospiraceae bacterium
Lineage: Bacteria; Bacillati; Bacillota; Clostridia; Lachnospirales; Lachnospiraceae
Description: partial 16S ribosomal RNA
Rfam family: Bacterial small subunit ribosomal RNA
Source: RNAcentral